Long non-coding RNA from Mus pahari (shrew mouse), 1295 nucleotides. RefSeq lists it as uncharacterized. The transcript is spliced from 4 exons. The record is from RefSeq and is a predicted model, not a curated record. Lineage: Eukaryota; Metazoa; Chordata; Mammalia; Rodentia; Muridae.
CUGCGGGGCUGGGGAAUCCGCGGCCACCGCCUCUAAUCCGCCCUUAAGUAGUCUCCGCCUGCGUCACGCCAGGUCGGCGGAGGGGAGCAGAGCGCGGCGUGCCGCUGUCGCCGAGCGUCGGAGCCCGAGGGGCCGCGGCCGCGCGCCGCGGGGGGAGGAGACGGUCUGGAGUCCCCCCGCUGCGCCGGGGUUGGGGAGACGGAGGACUGCAGCGCCCCUUGGGGCUUCUGAGGCGCCCAGGUAACCUCACCUGGCCGCCAGUCUCCCGCAGGAGGAACAGACACGUUGGUUCCACACCGAACCUAUUAACAGCUCAACUUCAAAUAUUUGGCAGAGGUGGGAUUGCUGUUCACUAAGGAAAUCUAUUGACUACAAUUACUGGGAAAGACUAAUUUGGACUGUAUAUAGUCUGUACAUUUUGCUGUAAUAGGAAACAGUUUAAAGCUAAGCCCAGGAGAAAACAAGAAUCCAAACACACUCUUCUAGAAAUAAAAGACCAGCCUGGAUUAAUUGACUCACUGAAGUUCUGUGCAAACAGAAACCAGAUUUCUUCUGUUGACCAAUUACCAGAGCCUCUGAGACAGCGACUUCAGCUCAAUGUCACUGCCUGCAAUUUCCUUGGAAAUCUGAUUUUCACUGUGGUCCCUUGAAAACUGACGGCGGCUCGGGAGGAAACCUAGUCUGUGCUCUGGACUUCCAUCCAUGCACUGAUGCUCUCAGUGUUACUGUGGUCAUACUCGCAUCUAUUAUGAAAGCAAGAAAAGGACACAGCCAUCCUUCCCAAGUUCAGGGAGUGCUGGCUGUGAUUUCUUCACAAAUGCACUUAAGUCUUGCAUAAAGGUAGAUCAUGCAUUACAAUACAGGCAGGAAAAUUUCUAAUGUCAAGUAGAAGAAGAUAUCAUUUAAAGCACAUUUUCAUGGAAAUUGUGCUGUUAUGUGCAGCCCAGAACAGCUGAAACUUGAGCUCAGAUUGGUAGGACUUCUCCAUCUUAACAGCUAAGAAAAGGGACCACUUGUGAGGUGCCAUGGCAACAGCAUCAUGUCCAAUGGUUCUUGGAGAAAUCCAUGCAGAAACAUGAUCAGAACACACAAGGAUUUGCUAUUGAUUUGAUGAAACAAUGGGCAAAGUAUUUCAUUUUCUAUCAUAUUCUAAUGUUUUUCAUUUUAAAAAUAUACAAAUAAUAUUCAGCAUAAAAGAACCAGGAUGUGAAAAUGCAUAAAGAAGACUAGGGUCAGUCUCUUGGAGAUUUUUUGUGCCUCUAUAGAUGCCCAUAUUCAUGAAGGAAGGGGAAAAA